Molecule: ribosomal RNA, 864 nt
Filed under: Rhodococcus sp. M_A_09/11_5_1
Lineage: Bacteria; Bacillati; Actinomycetota; Actinomycetes; Mycobacteriales; Nocardiaceae
Description: bacterial SSU rRNA
Rfam family: Bacterial small subunit ribosomal RNA
Source: RNAcentral
GGGGUGUAAUCGCUCAGGACGAAUGCUGGCGGCGUGCUUAACACAUGCAAGUCGAGCGGUAAGGCCUUUCGGGGUACACGAGCGGCGAACGGGUGAGUAACACGUGGGUGAUCUGCCCUGCACUUCGGGAUAAGCCUGGGAAACUGGGUCUAAUACCGGAUAUGACCUCCUAUCGCAUGGUGGGUGGUGGAAAGAUUUAUCGGUGCAGGAUGGGCCCGCGGCCUAUCAGCUUGUUGGUGGGGUAAUGGCCUACCAAGGCGACGACGGGUAGCCGACCUGAGAGGGUGACCGGCCACACUGGGACUGAGACACGGCCCAGACUCCUACGGGAGGCAGCAGUGGGGAAUAUUGCACAAUGGGCGAAAGCCUGAUGCAGCGACGCCGCGUGAGGGAUGACGGCCUUCGGGUUGUAAACCUCUUUCAGCAGGGACGAAGCGCAAGUGACGGUACCUGCAGAAGAAGCACCGGCUAACUACGUGCCAGCAGCCGCGGUAAUACGUAGGGUGCAAGCGUUGUCCGGAAUUACUGGGCGUAAAGAGUUCGUAGGCGGUUUGUCGCGUCGUUUGUGAAAACCAGCAGCUCAACUGCUGGCUUGCAGGCGAUACGGGCAGACUUGAGUACUGCAGGGGAGACUGGAAUUCCUGGUGUAGCGGUGAAAUGCGCAGAUAUCAGGAGGAACACCGGUGGCGAAGGCGGGUCUCUGGGCAGUAACUGACGCUGAGGAACGAAAGCGUGGGUAGCGAACAGGAUUAGAUACCCUGGUAGUCCACGCCGUAAACGGUGGGCGCUAGGUGUGGGUUCCUUCCACGGAAUCCGUGCCGUAGCUAACGCAUUAAGCGCCCCGCCUGGAGACCCCCACCUGUU